GAAUUUUAUAUAAUUAGAAGUAAUAAAUUUAAUUUAAUAUAAAAAUUUUUAAUUAUAUUUGGUUGGGGGGAUAGUUAAAUAUAUAAAACUUUAAUUAAAAAAAAAUAUUAAUAAGUAAAUUAUGGAAUAUUAGUUAAAUUUUAGAAGAAUUAAUUACCUUAGGGAUAACAGCGUAAUAUUUUUAAAGAGAACGUAUUAAUAAAAAUGAUUGC
Molecule: ribosomal RNA, 212 nt
Filed under: Lachnomyrmex pilosus
Lineage: Eukaryota; Metazoa; Arthropoda; Insecta; Hymenoptera; Formicidae
Description: partial large subunit ribosomal RNA
Source: RNAcentral